CCUACGGGUGGCAGCAGUGGGGAAUAUUGGGCAAUGGAGGCAACUCUGACCCAGCAACGCCGCGUGAGUGAUGAAGGUUUUCGGAUUGUAAAACUCUUUAAGCGGGGAAGAAGAAAGUGAUUGUACCCACAGAAUAAGCCUCGGCUAACUACGUGCCAGCAGCCGCGGUAAUACGUAGGAGGCAAGCGUUAUCCGGAAUGACUGGGCGUAAAGGGUGCGUAGGUGGUUUGGCAAGUUAGUAGCGUAAUUCCGGGGCUCAACUUCGGAACUACUACGAAAACUGCUGGGAUUGAGUGCAGGAGGGGCAAGUGGAAUUCCUAGUGUAGCGGUGGAAUGCGAAGAUAUUAGGAGGAACACCAGUGGCGAAGGCGAUAUGCUGGACUGUAACUGACGCUGAGGCACGAAAGCGUGGGGAGCAAACAGGAUUAGAUACCCCAGUAGUC
RNAcentral lists this ribosomal RNA (443 nucleotides) under uncultured bacterium. RNAcentral's name for it is "partial 16S ribosomal RNA". It matches the Rfam family "Bacterial small subunit ribosomal RNA", at positions 338 to 795 of the family's 1533-position model. The record is from RNAcentral.